This 330-nucleotide ribosomal RNA is filed under the name Triticum aestivum (bread wheat). Its description in RNAcentral is "partial small subunit ribosomal RNA". Lineage: Eukaryota; Viridiplantae; Streptophyta; Magnoliopsida; Poales; Poaceae. The record is from RNAcentral.
AUGGGGGCAGGGCAAAGCACCAGCGCGGCGGAAACAGUACCGCGGCACAGACUGCGCCAUCACCACCAGUCCAUCUCGCCCCCAGCCCAGAGGCUCCUCCACUCGCCUUUCCCCUCCCCUCCUCCGCCGCCGCCUCUCCCUCGGCGCAGCAUCACCCCCUCGAUCCCACGCUCCCCCGGCCAGUUCGCGGUCUCCCGCCGCGAUUCCGCGCGGUGGGACGGCCGAUCCGGCCGGGCCCUGUUCGUGUGGUGUGGGCACGUACUUCGCUCGGACUUGCGGGGAGAAUCGGCGGCCGGAUCGCACUAUGGGCAGGGAUCUUCUACUGGAUAG